UUUCCGUAGGUGAACCUGCGGAAGGAUCAUUAUUGUAUAACCGAGGUGCGAGGGCUGUCCCUGACCCGAAAGGACGUGCACGCUCGACUGCACUCACACACAUCCAUCUCACCCCAAUGUGCACCAUCGAGUGGGUCCCCCUUAGGACAGUUCGCAGGGGGGCCUACGAUUUCACACAAUCUCUGUAUGUUGUGUAAAAUGUAUUUUUUGUUUUUGCGUAUACGAAACAAACACAACUUUUAACAACGGUUCUCUUGGCUCUCGCAUCGGUAAAGAACC
This 279-nucleotide unclassified non-coding RNA is filed under the name plant metagenome. RNAcentral's name for it is "partial contains small subunit ribosomal RNA, internal transcribed spacer 1, and 5.8S ribosomal RNA". The record is from RNAcentral.